Long non-coding RNA from Phodopus roborovskii (desert hamster), 1252 nucleotides. RefSeq lists it as uncharacterized. NCBI's taxonomy places the organism in Eukaryota, Metazoa, Chordata, Mammalia, Rodentia, Cricetidae. The record is from RefSeq and is a predicted model, not a curated record. The transcript is spliced from 2 exons.
UAGUUAUUAGUCGGUGAUAUUUUCUUUCUUUUUCUGAACAGGUCCCGAAUCAGCAAGGUAGAACUCUUCAGAUCAUUCCAGAAGCUGCUGAGCAGCAUUGCAGAAGACAAGCAGCCAGACUCUGUCAGGGUGCAGAAGCUGGACACCUACCAGGAGUACAAGGAGGCUGCGUCUGCCUACCAGGAAGCCUGGAGCGCACUCCGAAGGAAACCACCAUUUGCAUCCUGGAUCAGAAACCCACCCUACUACCACCAAUUUAAAUGAACUCUUGCUGCUACCAGGAUCCUUCAUAUUGAUCUGCCUUUUCUCAGAAUGCUGCAUGUCUUCAGUGUCAUAUAAUGGAACCCAGAACCUCAUCAAUCUGUACUUGAUUGGAAUUGCUAGCUCCUUGCUAAAAUGGUCUCUCAAUGAUGACCUUGGUAUUUGCCUUGAGUUAUGUUUUAUUGGUUUUCUAAAAUACAACAUCAGGUAUGAUGCUUUUUAAAGCAAUCUGCAGCAGCUCUGAUUAGGCAAGUGUACAUUGGAUGGAAAUUGUAUUAGAGUGUCUAGAUACUUCGGAGCUCCUGGAGUAGUGAACAUGUAUUUCAUAUUUCCAGCCUGCCUUUGGGAACCACCAUUUCCCAGUUCUCUACAAUCAGAUGUGGUUGAAGUCAACUUCACUCUCAGGCUCAGCACAGGACUAGCCUCGGGAAGCUCUGUUCUCAGACCUGCCAAGAAAGGUUGGUUUGUUGUUUGAGACAGAGUCUCACUUUGUAGCCUGUGUUAUCCUUGACUUUCAGUCCUGCAUCAGCCUUCCAAGUGCCAAGAUGAUAGGCAUAAGCCACCAUCAUAACUAGCCCAAAAUAUUCUCAUUCUUUCCCUCCCUCUCUCCCUCUCCUUCCUACCUCUCUUCUUGAGACAGGAUCCUUGAACUCACUAUGCAGCUAAGGAUGACCUUGAACUCUGACUUCCUGCCUCUGCCUCCAAGUGUAACACCAUACUUUGCUUCCAGGAAUCUCUUCUGAUCAGGGUUAUAGGGUCAUUAUAAUCUUGAACUGCCAGUAGUUGCCAUCUUUUCCUACCACAUAGAGACAGCCAGCUGAGAAUGAAGGCAACCAUUGCUGUUUGACCAAGUUCCAGCAUUUCAACAUUGCAGACCACACUUCUCCAGCACCUUAUUACUUUCAUGUUUAAUGAUUCUCAAUAUCAAUGCCUUUCCCUUUGGGAAAUUUUGUUCGGUCUUUGGUAAAGAAUAAAAAUGUGUACAAUGGUA